Molecule: non-coding RNA, 970 nt
Organism: Zootermopsis nevadensis
Lineage: Eukaryota; Metazoa; Arthropoda; Insecta; Blattodea; Termopsidae
Source: RefSeq, a predicted model, not a curated record
UAAAGAAAUGUUAACUUCUUCCCCCACAAGUCAAUGUUAUAUACAACGUCUGAUUACUAUUAUCUGAACCAGGAAAGCACGCUGACCGGACUUAAACAUUAUCUGUGCUACCAGGCCCAGGCUCAGGCCUGGUCUGGAUCUUUGCAGACUAUAAGCAGUGAGCGAAUCGUCCGUCGAUAGUGGCAAGUAUCCACAGUGCAAUGCAACUAAAAAUAGAAGUGAACCAAAGAGCUGAACGCAGACUGGAAAGUUUACGAAGAUAUCAACAGCUGAUAAUUAGAAUCAACAAAAAAAACAAUUAAUGAACAAUGAAGACUGAGUAAAAGGAGCAUGUUCUUUGUUAACUGCCAAUAUCCGGCCUGGGGCGUGACAGUGGCCAUCAUGCUGAUCAGCGUUCGUUGACUAUGGCGCCACGGUACAUCCAGCCUUACCAUCCGAUUAGAACAUUUUCCCUCGACACGAGACUUUUGUGCGUGGUUAAGAAGAGAAUUAUGAAAAAUAAAGCGAUCUUGGGAGAAAUGUGAACUGAGUGGUCGCAUUUGUGUGAUGAGAAGCCUCGCGUUUCAACUAUUAUCUUUCGUCUAUUCUGAUCAAAUUAAAAAGAGUACGUGGUUCGUGUGAAAUGUAUCUUCGCACAUGAAAAAGUUGAUGUUCCCCAUAAAACGUUUGUAUCCAUGAGAGACUAGCAUAAAGUGACAGAGGCUGUUGUAAUGAUAGCCUAUGUUACUGGUAAAUAUUUUACACCGAUGAUUUUAAAUUUUGCGCAAUUUGGUUUUGUCAAGUUGGUACUCAACACCAGUGAAAGAUGGCGUAUUCAGAAAAAGAGAGCGGUUUUCAAGCUUUCCUGUGCUUACUUGCAAUUACUCGAUUUAUUAUGAAUAAAUAAUGUUUCUCUGUAUGUUUUGAACUUGGUCAGUUGAAUACUUUAUUUUUAUUUCUUUAGAUAGUAUAAUUGCGUCAUAUUGUGAAU